GGAUGAAUGGGAACUAGUUUUGUUAUUGUACUUUUGAUGAAAACUGACUUUCUAGACAUAAAAUGUCACUUUUUUCACCUUAUCAUACUUUUUCAUCAACUUUUGCAUUUUAAGGUAACAAUCAUAUUUCGUAAUAUUUUGUGUCAGAAACAUUUCAUAGUACUAUAUUAUGUCUAACUAUGUGAAAAAAAUCAAAUUGGAGUAGGUCGGGCAACUGAUUAUAUAAGUUUGUUAGAAAAACCACUUUCCUUUGCUCCUAGCGCCUUCUCGUUCGCUGUAUAGCGUUUUGAGCGGAUAAAGAGCACAAGUGUGCAUGGAGACACAGGAUGAAUGGGAACAAGUUUUGUUAUUGCACUUUUGAUGAAAAGUGACUUUCUAGACAUAAAAUGUCACUUUUUUCACCUUAUCAUACUUUUUCAUCAACUUUUGCAUUUUAAUGUAAACAAUCAUAUUUCGUAAUAUUUUGGGUCAGAAACAUUUCAUAGUACUAUAUUAU
Molecule: long non-coding RNA, 496 nt
Organism: Ictalurus punctatus (channel catfish)
Lineage: Eukaryota; Metazoa; Chordata; Actinopteri; Siluriformes; Ictaluridae
Source: Ensembl